UGUAUUAACUACUAACUUUUCCUCNUGACUGAAAGUGCUUUACAACCCGAAGGCCUUCUUCACACACGCGGCAUGGCUGCAUCAGGNUUUCCCCCAUUGUGCAAUAUUCCCCACUGCUGCCUCCCGUAGGA
Molecule: ribosomal RNA, 131 nt
Filed under: uncultured bacterium
Lineage: Bacteria
Description: partial 16S ribosomal RNA
Source: RNAcentral